Heterocephalus glaber (naked mole-rat) is the source of this 392-nucleotide long non-coding RNA. NCBI's taxonomy places the organism in Eukaryota, Metazoa, Chordata, Mammalia, Rodentia, Bathyergidae. The record is from Ensembl.
GGGGUCGUAGCGCGGCCGCUGGCAGGGCGGGGGGUACGAAAGAGGAACCUUCCGGGCAGGGGGUGAGUGCCUGGAGCAGGCAGGACGCUGCGGCUGAAGUCUGUGCUCAGAGCUGAGACACUUGGCACAACUGCUUCCGCCCUGCAGCCGCCUUCGCCCAGGAAAAGUCACUUAGAGUCGCCCCGCCCUCUGGAUCUUCUUCCUAUGAUUAGAAGUUUUUAAGCUCUGUAUCACUGGGGCCAUGGUUCUCGAUAUUUAACUCUUGUGGCCCAGAGCUAUGAAGGCAGAACACUAGCACUGAAAGUCCUUGUCCACCCUGAGGCCCUGGCCACCCAACGGGAGACUGACUCUGGGAGACCAUGCUCAAGAUGUGAGCAGAGUCUGACCAGAAC